This 259-nucleotide unclassified non-coding RNA is filed under the name Hevea brasiliensis (rubber tree). The record is from RNAcentral. Lineage: Eukaryota; Viridiplantae; Streptophyta; Magnoliopsida; Malpighiales; Euphorbiaceae.
CGUCAUCACCGCAUAAGCCGCUUCAAGGAACGCGAUAUCAUUCCGCAUCAGGAUGCCGACGCUGUCGCCUUGCCUGAUGCCGAGCCGCUCAAGCCCGCCCGCGAUCAGGCGGGCGCGCUCAUUGACCUCAUCACGGGACUUGCGGCGAUCGCCGCUGACGAUCCCCGGCGCUGACAUGCCGCGUCCGUUCAGUUCGANUCGGCAAAUUUCGGCGCGCGCUUCUCGAUAUUGGCGCGUACCGCCUCGAUCUGGUUAGGCG